UAGCUUGCUAGAUUGAUGGCGAGUGGCGAACGGGUGAGUAAUACAUCGGAACGUGCCCUGUAGUGGGGGAUAACUAGUCGAAAGAUUAGCUAAUACCGCAUACGACCUGAGGGUGAAAGUGGGGGACCGCAAGGCCUCAUGCUAUAGGAGCGGCCGAUGUCUGAUUAGCUAGUUGGUGAGGUAAAGGCUCACCAAGGCGACGAUCAGUAGCUGGUCUGAGAGGACGAUCAGCCACACUGGGACUGAGACGCGGCCCAGACUCCUACGGGAGGCAGCAGUGGGGAAUUUUGGACAAUGGGCGAAAGCCUGAUCCAGCAAUGCCGCGUGUGUGAAGAAGGCCUUCGGGUUGUAAAGCACUUUUGUCCGGAAAGAAAUGGCUCUGGUUAAUACCUGGGGUCGAUGACGGUACCGGAAGAAUAAGGACCGGCUAACUACGUGCCAGCAGCCGCGGUAAUACGUAGGGUCCAAGCGUUAAUCGGAAUUACUGGGCGUAAAGCGUGCGCAGGCGGUUGUGCAAGACCGAUGUGAAAUCCCCGAGCUUAACUUGGGAAUUGCAUUGGUGACUGCACGGCUAGAGUGUGUCAGAGGGGGGUAGAAUUCCACGUGUAGCAGUGAAAUGCGUAGAGAUGUGGAGGAAUACCGAUGGCGAAGGCAGCCCCCUGGGAUAACACUGACGCUCAUGCACGAAAGCGUGGGGAGCAAACAGGAUUAGAUACCCUGGUAGUCCACGCCCUAAACGAUGUCAACUAGUUGUUGGGGAUUCAUUUCCUUAGUAACGUAGCUAACGCGUGAAGUUGACCGCCUGGGGAGUACGGUCGCAAGAUUAAAACUCAAAGGAAUUGACGGGGACCCGCACAAGCGGUGGAUGAUGUGGAUUAAUUCGAUGCAACGCGAAAAACCUUACCUACCCUUGACAUGCCACUAACGAAGCAGAGAUGCAUUAGGUGCUCGAAAGAGAAAGUGGACACAGGUGCUGCAUGGCUGUCGUCAGCUCGUGUCGUGAGAUGUUGGGUUAAGUCCCGCAACGAGCGCAACCCUUGUCUCUAGUUGCUACGAAAGGGCACUCUAGAGAGACUGCCGGUGACAAACCGGAGGAAGGUGGGGAUGACGUCAAGUCCUCAUGGCCCUUAUGGGUAGGGCUUCACACGUCAUACAAUGGUGCAUACAGAGGGUUGCCAAGCCGCGAGGUGGAGCUAAUCCCAGAAAAUGCAUCGUAGUCCGGAUCGUAGUCUGCAACU
Molecule: ribosomal RNA, 1238 nt
Filed under: uncultured Ralstonia sp.
Lineage: Bacteria; Pseudomonadati; Pseudomonadota; Betaproteobacteria; Burkholderiales; Burkholderiaceae
Description: bacterial SSU rRNA
Rfam family: Bacterial small subunit ribosomal RNA
Source: RNAcentral